This 341-nucleotide ribosomal RNA is filed under the name uncultured Coriobacteriales bacterium. RNAcentral describes it as "partial 16S ribosomal RNA". The record is from RNAcentral. Lineage: Bacteria; Bacillati; Actinomycetota; Coriobacteriia; Coriobacteriales.
GGAGUUUGGACCGUCUCUCAGUUCCAAUGUGGCCGAUCACCCUCUCAGGUCGGCUACCCAUCGUCGGUUUGGUGGGCCGUUACCCCGCCAACUGCCUAAUGGGACGCGAGGCCACCUUCAUCCGGAUUGCUCCUUUGACCUCAAUACCAUGCGGUAUCGUGGUCUCAUGCGGUAUUAGCAUCCCUUUCGAGAAGUUAUCCCCCUGAUGAAGACAGGUUCCUCACGCGUUACUCACCCGUCCGCCACUCGGGUGAACAGAAGCAAGCUCCCAUUCACCCUCGUUCGACUUGCAUGUGUUAAGCACGCCGCCAGCGUUCGUCCUGAGCCAGGAUCAAACUACU